AAAAAAAAAAAAAAAACAACAACUGAGUAUGUAGAGAGAGUUUGAUCUAUAUGUUACAAGCUCCAAUCACAAGCCUAAUUCAAAUUGGCAGAGGAAUUUGGUAUUAUAUUACGCUAUUUAGUAUAAACUGAAGGAGGACCUGAUGAGUAGUGGUUGGCAUCUCCCUGUGUGGCAUCAUUCUCCCUGCUACUCACGAAGAACCAGUUUUCAAACUAAUUAGCUAGAAAGAGGAGGUGUGUGAUGAAUCUACAAAUUGGCCAGCUCCCAUGUCUGAAGUUCAAGUCUCAAGGGGAAAGCAUGGAUAUGCGGCACUAGAACAUCCUGAAGGCUUAGAAAUUGAAGGUAAAAUCAAACGGAAUAGUUUACAAGAAUGCAUGAUUCUUCUUUCGGUCUUCCAGUUCUUUGGGAAUGGCUUAUCGUUUUAAGCCACCUGGGACAGCAGAUGGUGCCACCAUACUGUUAACUUAGUUAUUUUCCUACUCACUUCUACCUGGUGUUUUGUCUCACAAGAGCCUGGGACGCUUACGUGUAAAACACAAUUGGGCUUUUCAAGGGUUUUAGGGGAAGAUGGCCUGGGCUGCCUUUAACAUGUCUAUAACCAGUUGCAUGUGAAGAAGAUAUGCAAGUAUUUUCCAUUUGUAUGACCGAAGUACACAGUAAAAAUACAUGAGAUUAACAAAGACAGAAUUAACUUACCAUGUUAAGGAUCAGGCAGGAGGUUUGAAGAAAUUGUUAUUUCCUCAGGCCUUUUGAAUUGUGUUGAGGCACUGCUCCUGCAGGCCUGGAGGCUGUGUGGUCUAUGUGCUAUUAUUGACCAGCGGCUGCAAUUUAAAGACUUGAAGCUGCUGUUGCUUUCUUGCAAUGAAUAUGAGAUCAAACCCUCCUUGAAUUCCCUCAUGAUAAUCAUGAUGCAUAACUUUGUCAAAUGACAGACUUUAAAGAAAUACGUCAUACAUUUGGGCAACAUGAGUAAAUGAUCUGUUGCCUGCAGCUAGUUUACUAUGUAGUUUUGUUAUUGUUGCAUGAGGGAGAUUAGCAGAAGUGAGUGUGACUCUGCUAUGUUUUGCUAUCUGUCUCAGCUGCCUGUUAGCCCAAGGCUGAAGAUUUAUCAAGUUAAUAUUUAAAGGCCCAAGAGGCUUGCAUCCCAAGUGCAUUUUUGAGCUUCUGAUGCCCUGUAUUCCAUUUCAAUCUUGACGGUUAGGAGAGAGAAAUUUGGGGCCUGAGGGCUUUCUGAAAUGGAACAAGCUCAAAGUGUGCAGUAUCUCCUCCUCUGGAGUACUGGGUAUGUGGAAUGUUUUCCUUCCAAAGCUAUAUAUAUUUCCAGAGUACAUUCAAAAUAUGCUUUCCAUCUCUAACCAGAAAGCUUUCUGCAGCAACAUUCUAAUUGUAAUUAUUUCACUGUUGGCAGCUGCAAUUUAAAAUGGCAGGCUAAGGAAGAAAGACCUCUGUAAUGUUAUAAUUCUCAUAAAGGGUCAUUAACAUUUGAUUUAGACGUUGUUUAUGAAAAAAUAUUAGUCUUCUCAGCUUUCAGUAUUUUUGAGGAUAUUUGAGAGGCAAUUAUGCUUACUUGUUGGUUAUUUUACAUCAAAAAAUAUUAAAUACUCCACACAAGUAAGAUUUUUAUGCUCUUCAUUUGGGAAUGUAGAGAGGGCAAGGUACUAAACAUUCUGAGACUCUUUUCCUAAAGAUAUCCAUAUUAUUAUAUUUACAUUUCAUCUGCCAGUCAUGAUUACAAGAUGAAUAUGUUUGAAUUCACCUUCACAUCCAGUGAAAUUCUGACCGGUUUACUUACACUGAGUAGGACAAACUUGUGUCUGAGAUACCAUUGAAGACACAGAUGGUGUGAAUAAAAGGUCAGGAUCAAACA
Long non-coding RNA from Numida meleagris (helmeted guineafowl), 1867 nucleotides. NCBI's taxonomy places the organism in Eukaryota, Metazoa, Chordata, Aves, Galliformes, Numididae. The record is from Ensembl.